This 449-nucleotide ribosomal RNA is filed under the name uncultured bacterium. Its description in RNAcentral is "bacterial SSU rRNA". It matches the Rfam family "Bacterial small subunit ribosomal RNA", at positions 330 to 793 of the family's 1533-position model. The record is from RNAcentral.
GCCAGACUCCUACGGGAGGCAGCAGUGGGGGAUAUUACACAAUGGGGGGAACCCUGACGCAGCGACGCCGCGUGGGUGAAGGAGCGUUUCGGCGCGUAAAGCCCUCUCGGCAGGGAAGAAGGAGGACGGUACCUGACUAAGAAGCCCCGGCUAACUACGUGCCAGCAGCCGCGGUAAUACGUAGGGGGCAAGCGUUAUCCGGAUUUACUGGGUGUAAAGGGGGCGCAGACGGCAGCGCAAGCCAGGAGUGAAAGCCCGGGGCCCAACCCCGGGACUGCUCUUGGAACUGCGCGGCUGGAGUGCAGGAGGGGCAGGCGGAAUUCCUGGUGUAGCGGUGAAAUGCGUAGAUAUCAGGAGGAACACCGGUGGCGAAGGCGGCCUGCUGGACGGCGACUGACGUUGAGGCCCGAAAGCGUGGGGAGCAAACAGGAUUAGAUACCCGAGUACCG